GGCGGUUCUCAGGUGAUACACCCGGGAAUCAGGCUCCCUCCUCUCUGUUUCUGGGCAAAUCACCUGAGAACCGCA
Myotis davidii is the source of this 75-nucleotide non-coding RNA. Lineage: Eukaryota; Metazoa; Chordata; Mammalia; Chiroptera; Vespertilionidae. The record is from Rfam.